This is a long non-coding RNA of Malurus melanocephalus (red-backed fairy wren), 1838 nucleotides long. RefSeq lists it as uncharacterized. Lineage: Eukaryota; Metazoa; Chordata; Aves; Passeriformes; Maluridae. The record is from RefSeq and is a predicted model, not a curated record. The transcript has 3 exons.
AUAAGUGCAAAUGUGUAAUACAGAGUAUUYAGUCUUGAUAAAAGCAAGUGAUUAUUUGGAUCUGUUUCUUUUCUAGUUGAACAAUCAUUUUUAACACUGUGGCAAGGCUACCAUGAGACAAUUUCUUAAUUAUAUUCAGUGCCAAAAUCCAGAUGGACUGCAGUGGAAUUCCGAUGUCCAAACAGCAGUGCUGAGAGCCCACAUGUGAUUGACAACAUGAGCAUGUGCCUYUGUGUCUUUCUUGGAUCGGCUGCUGUGUUUGGUAUCAAGUCUUCUAAAGUGCUGCUGUAGAACCAGUUCAAACAACCCCACACUCAGCAGAUUUUUCCCUCUGGCCUUGUCCCYGCAGCAGGGUCACUGUGGCUCAGGAUAGAAAGGAGUCUAUCCAAAACACCCUUCCAGUGAUUCCCAGCUGCUCUCUAGUACUUUGAGACCACCAGCAGCUGGUGAGGCUGGGAAAGGACCUCCCAGGCCAUGCCYAGAACAGUGAAAUUGCAAAACUGUSUCCAGCAGCAGUKCAACACUUCUUCAGAUGCAUGGAAACKGCUCAGUCCAAGCAAAGGAGGCCAUCUUCAAGAACUGAGCCAGCCUACUGCUUAUAAUGAAACAUACCCAACAAACGGAUCUUUUGAGAGUUUUACACCUUGUGGCUGGAUUAGCAGGUUACUUAUUUCUUAGUGAUGUAAAAAGUAUUUUUGCUAGAAGGUGUGAUUAGGGAGGAUAGCAGCAAAGGUGGCAGGAAAACCUSRUUGUUGUAUUCAUCAGUGAGGACUGGAGGACUUCUUGGUUUGGUGUUUUUUUUCACAUAUCCUUUUGAAUUAUGGGGUUACUGCUUCUGAAGCUGUAGAGCUCAAGGUGGUUAUUACAUAAGUAAAAAGAAAAKGUGUCAUUUUUUCCAUGCUGCAAUGUUUAAAAGUUAAUUCUCUUAUAGAUCUCCUGUGCUCUGCCAUAUAAAUAUUAAAAAAGCAGCAGCUUAUACAUUACAAAUAAGAACCAUAUGAAAACAGGGACUGUAAUCAGUGAGAAUCAAAAACAUCUCAGAUAAUUCUUCAGUACUUCUAAAUAAUCAMAUAAUUUUAYGGUGAGUUAUACUUGCACRUACAUUUCAAGAURGAUUUUUAAGGCAUUUCAGAGAUGCYCACUAGACUCUAUCUGCUCUCUGAUAAACUGACACCAAAUUCCUUAUAAUUCUAAGGGAAGGAGCAAAAAGGGAUAGAGAAGAGCUUGUUUUCUGAGUUGCUUUCAGAAGACCCCUACCCUUGUGACCUGUGGCAGAGGAUCAGAGUGGUUUUGUGUCUUGCACUCGGUGAACUGUGCUUGUAAAUACUUGGGAAUUGCCAUAUAUCUACAGCUACUGGGGGUUUAUCUAUGUUAGAGAAACUCCACUGUCCUGUCUGCAGUUAUUUUAUGCCCRUAAUUUACUGAUACAGUAUAACACAUACCCACUCCAAUCAGGAUUUUUGAUGUAUCUCUUGUGCUCUGAAAAACCAAGCAGGCCUUCAGAGAGAGAAGCGAGAUUUCCACAAGAAAAGACCAUCAGGUGCUGAYGUUCUGUAAAGUCACGUCUGAUUGUUCUUUGCACCUCUUCCUCUCAGCCAAAGAAGACUAUUAUUCCCUGCAGGCCUGUAAAAAAAUUACUCCAUGCUGCUGAAUYGUAGAAAUUGUCUAGAUGAUCUAUUCAAUACAGCCCUAUGAAUCCUCCUCCCUCUGGCAGAGCCCUUUUCCAUGACAUGGGGAUUCAUUUCUGGUUUUCAGCCASCAGAAUGAUCCCAGUAAGAGGGACAGUUUUCACACCUGUUAUUUUCUAAUACUCAGAAAGAUAACACAAUUAGAUCUUA